CAGUCGCCGCGGUAAUACGAAGGGGGCUAGCGUUGCUCGGAUUUACUGGGCGUAAAGGGCGAGUAGGCGGACAGUUAAGUUGGGGGUGAAAGCCCGGGGCUCAACCUCGGAAUUGCCUUCAAUACUGGCUGUCUUGAGUGUGAGAGAGGUGUGUGGAACUCCGAGUGUAGAGGUGAAAUUCGUAGAUAUUCGGAAGAACACCAGUGGCGAAGGCGACACACUGGCUCACUACUGACGCUGAGGCGCGAAAGCGUGGGGAGCAAACAGGAUUAGAUACCCCAGUAGUCCCUGUCUCUAUACA
RNAcentral lists this ribosomal RNA (301 nucleotides) under uncultured bacterium. RNAcentral's name for it is "partial 16S ribosomal RNA". It matches the Rfam family "Bacterial small subunit ribosomal RNA", at positions 509 to 808 of the family's 1533-position model. The record is from RNAcentral.